Molecule: RNA transcript, 974 nt
Organism: Macrosteles quadrilineatus (aster leafhopper)
Lineage: Eukaryota; Metazoa; Arthropoda; Insecta; Hemiptera; Cicadellidae
Exons: 3
Source: RefSeq, a predicted model, not a curated record
GGUGACCAUGAAGACAUCAGUGACUCUACUCAUCUGCGUGUGUGUACACCAUGUAGCCACCUCGCCUCUUCCCAUAACCGUCUCUAGUAGAGACGGCUAUGCUCUUCCUCAGUUUGACUAUCCAGAAACUUCUUUUUCUGGCAUUCCCACAUCGUUAAGUGACAUGGGGUUACCUACCGACUUUCGUAGGCAUACUGGGGUUUCCUCUGGAUUGAACAACAGGUUUUCCUCUAGAUUGGGUGAUGAUUUUACCUCUGGAUCGAACAACAGGUUUUUCUCUAGAUUGGAUGAUGAUUUUACCUCUGGAUUGGGUAACAAGCAGCAGAUUGAUCCGACUCAAAGCUACUUGAUGCAGUGUGUUCAUAGACCAGGCACUGGUCUAUCUCCCACUACAUUGUGUAGUGUAUGGCAGAGCGUAGGAGGCAACGGUGGUUUUCCUAGUGGCAACGGUGGUAUUACUGGUGGCAACGGUGGUGGCAACGGUGGUGGCACUAGAGACUAUCCUGACCCGAGAGGAGAAGAAGAAGGCGGUGGAAGUGAAGAAACUAAUGAAGGAGUUCCUACUGAUGAUGAUGCUGAACUAGUCAAGGAAUAUAAAGCUAGCCGCAGAGGCCAGAGGGUCAUAGGAUCGCAAUACAAUCACUUCUGAGAUCACAAUUCCCAACGUAAUACUUGAACAUCGUGCAUGUUCAGGAUGACCUUCUCAAGGAAUUACAUUACCUACUCGGAGGAAUCAGGGACAGUGCACAAGAUGAAAAUUGAAAAGGAAACAAUGUUUUGUAACUAUCUUAAUGAUUUUUAAAAUUCUUUUUAAGUAUUUAGUUUUUGAUACUAGUGAGUCAGGAAUAGUAUUGUGAAUCAUUUCUGAUGUGCAUAUAUUGUAUAGGCCUAUGCCGCCUAUGUGUGUAUAGUUAAUAGUUAUGUAAGAUAAAUAUGUUUUGCAUAAUAAAAAAAUUUAUUUAUAUUUUGAAUAA